UCCGGCGCCAUAGGGAUGUGGGCUGCGGCCGAUUUAGGUAGACGGUGGGGUAACGCCCCACCCGUGCCCAGUAAUCGGUACGGGGUGAUGAGAGUCAGAGCCCGGGAGACGGGUAUCUGAGACAAGAUACCGGGGCCCUACGGGGCGCAGCAGGCGCGAAAACCUUUACACUGCACGACAGUGCGAUAGGGGGACUCCAAGUGCGAGGGCAUACAGUCCUCGCUUUUGUGCACCGUAAGGUGGUGCAGGAACAAGUGCUGGGCAAGACCGGUGCCAGCCGCCGCGGUAAUACCGGCAGCACGAGUGAUGGCCGAUAUUAUUGGGCCUAAAGCGUUCGUAGCUGGCCAGACAAGUCUGUUGGGAAAUCCACGCGCCCAACGCGUGGGCGUCCAGCGGAAACUGUUUGGCUUGGGGCCGGAAGACUCGAGGGGUACGUCCGGGGUAGGAGUGAAAUCCCGUAAUCCUGGACGGACCACCGGUGGCGAAAGCGCCUCGAGAAGACGGACCCGACGGUGAGGAACGAAAGCCAGGGUCUCGAACCGGAUUAGAUACCCGGGUAGUCCUGGCCUUAAACGAUGUCGCUAGGUGUGGCGCAGGCUACGAGCCUGUGCUGUGCCGUAGGGAAGG
RNAcentral lists this ribosomal RNA (627 nucleotides) under haloarchaeon STR16. Its description in RNAcentral is "bacterial SSU rRNA". It matches the Rfam family "Archaeal small subunit ribosomal RNA", at positions 195 to 812 of the family's 1478-position model. Lineage: Archaea; Methanobacteriati; Methanobacteriota; Halobacteria; Halobacteriales. The record is from RNAcentral.